Molecule: ribosomal RNA, 366 nt
Filed under: uncultured Acidovorax sp.
Lineage: Bacteria; Pseudomonadati; Pseudomonadota; Betaproteobacteria; Burkholderiales; Comamonadaceae
Description: bacterial SSU rRNA
Rfam family: Bacterial small subunit ribosomal RNA
Source: RNAcentral
GACCUUCGGGAGCUUGCACAGGUGCUGCAUGGCUGUCGUCAGCUCGUGUCGUGAGAUGUUGGGUUAAGUCCCGCAACCGAGCGCAACCCUUGUCAUUAGUUGCUACAUUCAGUUGGGCACUCUAAUGAGACUGCCGGUGACAAACCGGGAGGAAGGUGGGGAUGACGUCAAGUCCUCAUGGCCCUUAUAGGUGGGGCUACACACGUCAUACAAUGGAUGGUACAAAGGGUCGCCAACCCGCGAGGGGGAGCCAAUCCCAUAAAGCCAUUCGUAGUCCGGAUCGGCAGUCUGCAACUCGACUGCGUGAAGUCGGAAUCGCUAGUAAUCGUGGAUCAGAAUGUCACGGUGAAUACGUUCCCGGGUCUU